CCUCAACUGCCUACAGCAGAAGGUCCUCAUACAGCAAGAGAGAGGAAGACAGGAGCCAAGGAAAACAUGCAUUGCAGCAAAUAGGGGUGAGAAGAAACAGCAUGGGACUUCUACUGUAUAAGAACCAUGUCUCCUUCUCUACUGUGAGAAUAUACUUUGCUUUGAGGGGCGACCUUCAUGAAAAUGGAUCUCAAAGGGGAACUGGACUAUAAAAGUGAAGGGUAAAACCACCCCAAAUUAUCUCUCUCUAUCCACCUCUCCACCUCUCUCUUCACCUAAGAUGACAAAAGAAACAGCUGUUGGGAGCAGACCCUGGCCUGAGAGUUUGGUCACCAAUGUUACUUAAAAAAAGAGUAGGUUGCCCACUGCCAGCAGGUGCCAAAGAAGUGACAAAUGUAAUUCAAAGUCCAGUGGCCACAUCCUUCCAUGAGAACUGUGAAGUGGAUGCGAGUUAAGCAGUCAAUUUAUGACAUGGAUAUGUGGUUUCUCUGAGAUGCUUCCAUGAAGUUGUAUUUUUAGCUUACUGUACUACCAAUAUAGAGUCUGCCAUAAUGGAACAUGCCAAAAUGAAACAUUCUGAUCAUUGGUGCAAGGUUUUUUGGAAUAUUGUGCCCAAUAUAGACCCAGAUUGUUGAACUGCUUAUUCACUAUGGUGAGAGGUUCCUACCUGGGUAGUCUUACUGAAGUCAUUGCAUCUACUCAGGUGAGUAGUACUCACCAAGGUGAGUAAGGGUUGUCAACCUAGUCCUUAGCCCGGAGAGGACAAAAGCUGUAAACUUAUUGCAGAACUGUCAGUUAGAAAAUCUUUUUAAUUUUGAACUAAACAAAUGUGACAUGGAGACAUUGAGAAAAUCAAUAUGGAGCCUCAUAUUUCGUGUACCAAAUAGAACUGCACAUUACAAAGUAUACAGGGGUGUGCACAAUUAUCUCCUUUAAAGGUCCCUUCCUUUUUGCAGAUUGAGACUUUUUCAUGAAAGGUUGCACAUGGCAGCCAGUG
Long non-coding RNA from Mauremys mutica (yellowpond turtle), 997 nucleotides. RefSeq lists it as uncharacterized. The record is from RefSeq and is a predicted model, not a curated record. Lineage: Eukaryota; Metazoa; Chordata; Testudines; Geoemydidae. The transcript is spliced from 3 exons.